AAAGAGGUGAGUCUCUCGCUCCAUCUCCACGGUGACAAGAGGAGUGUUUUCUCCAGACUUGGGCCGGUGCCUAUGCGAACGCCCUCUGCUGACCUCACAACCUUCCCGUCGAUCCCCUCCUCGUGGACGUCACGCAAGGCCACAGCUGCAUCCCAAGUCUGAGGAAAACAUCAGUUUGGGCUGGGGAAGGCUAGCUCUUUUUUUUUUUUUUAGAUCUUUGGAAAGCCCACUUUUUAGAGGCCGAAAACAGCUUUUUGCCUCAGAGUGCAGCGUUCGUGCCCUGUCACCCUGUGGCUGUUCUUCAUUAGAGGGAGGAGGAGGAUGAGGGGGAACACGAGGGCUGGAUCGAGUUUAUAUCUACAGCUGGGAGGUCAGCUUUCCUCUGGGACAAUGUGAGGAUAUGAGUGUUCGAUGACAAACUGUGAUAAGGGGCUAUGAGUGUAUGUGUGUGGGAGGCGUGGGGUAAUGGGUACAAGGGCAGCCAGGCUCGUUUUUUCUCACUCCCGGUUUGGCCACGAGUCUUCAAAAGCCUUCUGAUUUAAUUUAAGGUGUGAAAGUGCAAAGGAGAUCCCUUUCCUCUCCAUAGAUGCUUAGCUGAUAGAGUGAUGAUAAGAAUGAGCGCUUCCUCCGUGAGAAAGAUUAAGCUGCUAUUUUACUCAAUAAACAAACAAGCUGUGGGUGUUUUUCGGGUUGUUUUCUUGGAUGAUGCGCUUUUGUCGGGCCCCUAUUCUUAGGUCUGUCCAGUAACGUCCCCUCGCUCUUAAGCUCAAGCUCGUCUCACUGCGUCACGCGGAUGAUGAAUCAAAUUCAGUUUCCCAGCUGCCGCGUCAUUCGUUGUUUGGACACAAGCUGAAAACAAACCUACUCUGACUGUUUACGGGCUUUUUAAGGACUCGCCUUGAUCCUGGUUGACCUCAGGCCGCAGACUUCCAAACUGUUUACACUCCCUGCCUCUGUGGCUUCUGCACGCGCACACAGACUUUUGUCAGUCACGGUGCCGAAUAGCACUUGUGAAUUUUGAAUAAGCAGCUCUUACAGUAUGUACCGGCCCCGUUUCCUGUGCAAUCAGAGGAAACCAUGGGG
Molecule: long non-coding RNA, 1083 nt
Organism: Astatotilapia calliptera (eastern happy)
Lineage: Eukaryota; Metazoa; Chordata; Actinopteri; Cichliformes; Cichlidae
Source: Ensembl